RNAcentral lists this small RNA (169 nucleotides) under Dorea sp. CAG:105. RNAcentral describes it as "Clostridiales-1 RNA". It matches the Rfam family "Clostridiales-1 RNA". The record is from Rfam by way of RNAcentral. Lineage: Bacteria; Bacillati; Bacillota; Clostridia; Lachnospirales; Lachnospiraceae.
UUUUACCAAGGUCAUAAGUCAUGUCGUCACACUAUGCUUGCACAAGGGUGACAGCAUGACUUCAUGACCUGCCCCGCAAUGAGGAUAAAAGCAUGGCGAAAGCCAUGCGAUAUCCGAAUUGCGGGUAGGAUUGCGGGAGUGCAAGGCACGGAGCAAUCCGAAGAUAAAA